UCUAAAUCUUUUUUUAAUAAAAUAAGAAUGAAAUUUAGAUUAUUUUGUGAUUUAAUUUGUUUGUUAAUUUUUUUUCUAGUUAGAUCUGAGAAUUUUUUAUAGUAAUAACUUGUUGAAAUUUGCGAUGGCUAAUGGACCAGAAAGCAAUAUUCCGAUGGAAAAGGUGUGUGACAUUAUCUCAAACCUUACUUUCUGAUAUUUGAUGAUUAACAUUUUCUUUUAUUUUAUGAAAUUCGCUAAUCAUAUUCUUAUUUUUCACCUUAAUUUUUAGGAUAGUAAUCUAUAACUCUAUAUGAAGGCACAAUAUUUUUUGUCACGUGGCAUAUUGUCCUUCAUCCUCAUAUAUCCCCAUUCUCCACUUUAAAUCCAACCACUCUUUUCUAAACCAAACCGAUCUUCUAGCAUUUGAACCGAACCAAUAAUCUUUGAAUCUCGAACAAAACCGCCGUCUUUUUAAAAUUGAACCGCAUAUGUGAACCAAACCACUUCUCUCUCCUCUCUCACUUGCCUCUCUUUGAAUCUCGAACCGAACCGCCGCCUUUUUUAAAACUGAACCACAUAUGUGAACCAAACCAUUUCUCUCUCCUCUCUCACUUGCUUCUUUCUUGAACUGAACCGCACUCUGUUAGCACUUGAACCGGACCACUCACUCUAUCUUUGAACUUCUGAACCGAACCAAAACAAACCGCUUUUUCUGCUUCCGGUUUUCAUACGGCGAGCGUUUCCUCAUCCCUCUUUCUCCGCGUCGUUCCGCCUCCCCUAUCCGAUGCCACAUUGUUCCUCCUCCCUUCUCGGUUGCAACGUUUCAUCAUUAUCAUCUCAACAUUAUCAUCCUCAUCUUCAUACGCCCUUAGCAGGUUUUCCUUUUGAAUGGUGAUUCUGAGCAGUUAUUUGUUUCAAAUGAUCAUAUCGGUGAGUUCAAUUCAUACAUUUCACUACAAAAAAAAAAACACUUGAAUUUUUAUUUUUCAAAGUAUCUUAUGGUUGUUUAGUUUCGUAAUGAUUUGAUAAUAAUUGAUUCAAAGAGCGCGUCAGAAGAAAUUAUUUGAAGUCAUCUUUCGUGCUUCUUUGAAACCUAGGAAUUAUUUGAAGUCAUCUUUUGCAACGGCAGAUGGCAACGGCAGAUGGCAUAUAUAUUUUUUGUUUCUUCCUUAUGGCUCUUUUUUUUUGACACAAUUGGAGCUAUUGUUGAAUAGAUUUAGCAUAUUGUUCAUUAAUUAAAAAAAAAUAUUGAUCAAGAUCUGAAAAUCAAAUACUUUUGCCCUUUUUUUCUACAUUCAUAUAUAUGUCUAGCACUUCAUAUUUUUAUAAAACGUGGUGAUGAACACAAUAGUGUUCAAUUGAAUAGAGCAGUUCAUGGAUUAUUUUUCACCUUUGAGGUAAAUCAAGUCUGAACCUAUUUUUUUAGAGUAUCAUACAUAUUACAAGCUUCUCUCUUAAUUUUACCUAUUUUUUAAUACAUUUAUAUAUGUUAGGCACUUUAUAUUUUUCCCUUCACUUUAAAGAAGAUUAGUAAAAAAAAAAAAAAAAAAAUCUGACUUUCGACUAAUUAAGGACUAAUUUUGAACCUCUUCAAUUCAUUUAGUAUCAAUUUUUUAUGUUCUCUUUUUUACUGUUUUACAUGUAACUGAUAGGGUAUAUAACACUCUUAUUUUAACUCUAUCAAUGUAACUUUUGGUGAGUUCCUCUUUGUUAUGUCU
This 1700-nucleotide long non-coding RNA is filed under the name Ananas comosus (pineapple). RNAcentral describes it as "long non-coding RNA (ACOM_LNC032615)". Lineage: Eukaryota; Viridiplantae; Streptophyta; Magnoliopsida; Poales; Bromeliaceae. The record is from RNAcentral.